CAGAGGUCCCAAGCGUUGUUCGGAUUCACUGGGCGUAAAGGGUGCGUAGGUGGUCGGGUAAGUCUGACGUGAAAUCUCCGAGCCUAACUCGGAAACUGCAUCGGAUACUAUUCGGCUCGAGGGUUGGAGGGGGGACUGGAAUACUUGGUGUAGCAGUGAAAUGCGUAGAUAUCAAGUGGAACACCAGUGGCGAAGGCGAGUCCCUGGACAACUCCUGACACUGAGGCACGAAAGCUAGGGGAGCAAACAGGAUUAGAUACCCUGGUAGUCCUAGCCGUAAACGGUGCACGUUUGCUGUAAAAGGAAUCGACCCCUUUUGUGGCGAAGCUAACGCGUUAAAACGUGCCGCCUGGGAAGUACGGUCGCAACGAUUA
RNAcentral lists this ribosomal RNA (374 nucleotides) under uncultured organism. RNAcentral's name for it is "bacterial SSU rRNA". It matches the Rfam family "Bacterial small subunit ribosomal RNA", at positions 526 to 896 of the family's 1533-position model. The record is from RNAcentral.